This 447-nucleotide ribosomal RNA is filed under the name uncultured bacterium. RNAcentral describes it as "partial 16S ribosomal RNA". It matches the Rfam family "Bacterial small subunit ribosomal RNA", at positions 29 to 523 of the family's 1533-position model. The record is from RNAcentral.
AACGAACGCUGGCGGCAGGCUUAACACAUGCAAGUCGAACGCCCCGCAAGGGGAGUGGCAGACGGGUGAGUAACGCGUGGGAAUCUAUCCAUCUCUGCGGAAUAGCUCUGGGAAACUGGAAUUAAUACCGCAUACGCCCUACGGGGGAAAGAUUUAUCGGGGAUGGAUGAGCCCGCGUUGGAUUAGCUAGUUGGUGGGGUAAAGGCCUACCAAGGCGACGAUCCAUAGCUGGUCUGAGAGGAUGAUCAGCCACAUUGGGACUGAGACACGGCCCAAACUCCUACGGGAGGCAGCAGUGGGGAAUAUUGGACAAUGGGCGCAAGCCUGAUCCAGCCAUGCCGCGUGAGUGAUGAAGGCCUUAGGGUCGUAAAGCUCUUUCACCGAUGAAGAUAAUGACGGUAGUCGGAGAAGAAGCCCCGGCUAACUUCGUGCCAGCAGCCGCCGUAA